RNAcentral lists this transfer RNA (75 nucleotides) under Candidatus Gottesmanbacteria bacterium RIFCSPHIGHO2_02_FULL_39_11. RNAcentral describes it as "tRNA-Met". It matches the Rfam family "tRNA". From Rfam's summary of the family: Transfer RNA (tRNA) molecules are approximately 80 nucleotides in length. Their secondary structure includes four short double-helical elements and three loops (D, anti-codon, and T loops). Lineage: Bacteria; Candidatus Gottesmaniibacteriota. The record is from RNAcentral.
GCCAGCGUAGCUCACCGGUAGAGCAGUGCCUUCAUAAGGCAUGUGUAACAGGUCCGAUUCCUGUCGCUGGUACAA